CCUACGGGUGGCAGCAGUGAGGAAUAUUGGUCAAUGGACGAGAGUCUGAACCAGCCGAGUAGCGUGAAGGAUGACUGCCCUAUGGGUUGUAAACUUCUUUUAUAUGGGAAUAAAAUGUUCCACGUGUGGGAUUUUGUAUGUACCAUAUGAAUAAGGAUCGGCUAACUCCGUGCCAGCAGCCGCGGUAAUACGGAGGAUCCGAGCGUUAUCCGGAUUUAUUGGGUUUAAAGGGAGCGUAGGUGGAUUGUUAAGUCAGUUGUGAAAGUUUGCGGCUCAACCGUAAAAUUGCAGUUGAAACUGGCAGUCUUGAGUACAGUAGAGGUGGGCGGAAUUCGUGGUGUAGCGGUGAAAUGCUUAGAUAUCACGAAGAACUCCGAUUGCGAAGGCAGUUCACUGGACUGCAACUGACACUGAGGCUCGAAAGUGUGGGUAUCAAACAGGAUUAGAUACCCGAGUAGUC
RNAcentral lists this ribosomal RNA (460 nucleotides) under uncultured bacterium. RNAcentral's name for it is "partial 16S ribosomal RNA". It matches the Rfam family "Bacterial small subunit ribosomal RNA", at positions 338 to 795 of the family's 1533-position model. The record is from RNAcentral.